Paramisgurnus dabryanus is the source of this 1626-nucleotide long non-coding RNA. RefSeq lists it as uncharacterized. Lineage: Eukaryota; Metazoa; Chordata; Actinopteri; Cypriniformes; Cobitidae. The record is from RefSeq and is a predicted model, not a curated record.
AUUGUAUAGAAGUGUUGCACACCUCUUGCACACAGCAGGCUUUCAAAAAAAAGUCAGCAAAAAAUGGGGGGCCUGUGCCCCAGUAGAGAUUUAUGUCUAGCAACGCCCCUGGUCUUAACUGUAAUUCCAUUACAGGCCCUAAAGAGCUUCAUCAAACAUCCAUAGGCCUUAGAAAGAAAAACACAAACAUUGACUAAAUUCAGAGGUGGAAGUAACGAAUUACAACUACUCACGUUACUGUAAUUAAAGAGCACCAAUUAUGCUAAUAAAUUGGCACGUUAGCACGUUAUUGCAAUAUCCCAUAGUACAUACAUGUUAUUAAAACUUGAACUAAUGCAUUGUGAGUCUUAUAAAUUGCUUACAUACCUCACCGAUUUCCCACUGUCUGGAAAACGCUCGGUUUAGUUCCUGUCUCCGCCUCCCAAAAUGUCUAGUGUAAUCGGAUUGGUCAGAUGACUACUCAACUGUUAUUGGUCAGCUGGGUUCGGCUUGUGUUUGAAAGGUUACGCCCCUGACUACGCAUGGGUUGACACAGAUUCUGACUGAGAGUCACAGCCUCAGAGGCAUCGUAAACAAGCGUUAUAUUUCUCUAUAAACGAUGGUGUCUGUACUGCCUUACCACUUCGAGCUCGAUCCAGAGAGUUCAGAAGGUCGUUACGAUAUAAACGAUCUCCGUCAAUGAAUGCGAUUGGAUUUAACUUUUUUAGGUGUCCUUAGCUCUGCCAGAAUGCUAAACGAAGACGAAAAUGUGUUGCAAAGACAUCCAAAAGGUAAUUAUAACGUACUACAUAACUAUAUGGAAACACCAAAUGUAGCACAUAGAAAGUAUUUGUUGAAAUGAUUAUAAAACGAUUUCACUUGGUAAUUUCUACAUUAUUUUACUCUAGUAAAAUUUAUUAUAAGACUGCUUACAUACUGUAUUACUGUGCAAACUAUAUGGAAACACCAAAUGUAGCACAUAUAAAGUAUUUGUUGAAAUGAUUAUAAAACGAUUUCACUUGGUAAUUUCUACAUUAUUUUACUAUAGUAAACUUAAUUAUAAAAUACUGCUUACAUACUAUUUUACUGUGCAAACUAUAUGGAAACACCAAAUGUAGCACAAAAAAAGUAUUAAUUGAAAUGAAUGUUAGUUCUACAUUAUUUUACUAUGGUAAACUUUAUUAUGAAAGACUGUGCUAUGUUUUUACUUACUAGGUUUUAAGGAGAAUGCAACAUGUUCCAGGGCCUCUUACCUGCGUGAUUCAUCAUCCAGGUUUUGCACAAAUUGUCUAAAUCCCUACACACAGAACAUUUAUUGUACCGAAUAUAAGCCUUUGAGGCGCAGGACUAGAAUACGCUUGGAGCUUCCUGAUCGGAAUGUUGGCUUCCGACGACCCCUGCACUGAAGAUGGCAUGCAAUCACGUCCUCCUUUGAAGGUCUCUCAAACUGUGAUGCCAGGUCCAUUGGAAUCGGGGUUUCCUUCAGCUUAUCUUCAAAUACCUCAGCAAACACAAGCCUGAUCACAUCAUCCACAUAACUGUAGAAAUAUUGCGGUCAAUAAAUCUUUUGUUUUGAUCAUUUAUUUCCCUGCUUCAUACAUUAAGUUUUUAAUUAUGAAUGUAUUUGAAAUAAAACAUUACUGCUUA